GACGAACGCUGGCGGCGCGCUUAACACAUGCAAGUCGAACGGAAAGGCCUGCUUUCCCUUGUGGAUUGCGGGUACUCGAGUGGCGAACGGGUGAGUAACACGUGAGUGAUCUGCCCCCAACUUGGGUAUAAGCCUGGGAAACUGGGUCUAAUUCCCGAUAGGACUGCAGGGUGGUGCCUGUGGUGGCAAACGAUUUUCUAGUGGUUGGGGAUGAGCUCGCGGCCUAUCAGCUUGUUGGUGGGGUAAUGGCCUACCAAGGCGGCGACGGGUAGCCGGCCUGGGAGGGUGGACGGCCACAUUGAGACUGAGAUACGGCCCAGACUCCUACGGGAGGCAGCAGUGGGGAAUAUUGCACAAUGGGCGGAAGCCUGAUGCAGCGACGCCGCGUGGGGGAUGACGGCCUUCGGGUUGUAACCUCCUUUCGACCGCGAGGAAGCCACCUGGUUGGAAGGGUGGUGACGGUAGUGGUAGAAGAAGCACCGGCUAACUACGUG
RNAcentral lists this ribosomal RNA (494 nucleotides) under uncultured bacterium. RNAcentral describes it as "partial 16S ribosomal RNA". It matches the Rfam family "Bacterial small subunit ribosomal RNA", at positions 28 to 507 of the family's 1533-position model. The record is from RNAcentral.